Molecule: ribosomal RNA, 253 nt
Filed under: uncultured bacterium
Lineage: Bacteria
Description: partial 16S ribosomal RNA
Rfam family: Bacterial small subunit ribosomal RNA
Source: RNAcentral
UACGGAGGGUGCAAACGUUGCUCGGAAUCACUGGGCGUAAAGCGCACGUAGGCGGCCUUGUAAGUUGGAUGUGAAAGCCCUGGGCUCAACCCAGGAAGUGCAUCCAAAACUGCAUGGCUUGAGUGCCGGAGGGGUUCAGAGAAUUCCCGGUGUAGAGGUGAAAUUCGUAGAUAUCGGGAGGAAUACCAGUGGCGAAGGCGCUGAACUGGACGGUAACUGACGCUGAGGUGCGAAAGCGUGGGUAGCAAACAGG